Molecule: long non-coding RNA, 1498 nt
Organism: Mauremys reevesii (Reeves's turtle)
Lineage: Eukaryota; Metazoa; Chordata; Testudines; Geoemydidae
Exons: 5
Source: RefSeq, a predicted model, not a curated record
CUUCCUGCCCCUGUGCACCCGACUCGUGGUCAUUACCCCCACUCCCCCCCCACACACAUACAGAGCUAUACCGUGUCAUGUGACCCAGGCGCUUUAGGAGGCCCCACCUCGAUGGAUUCUAGUGGGGGGGUCCCCCUACGUGCCUCCCUCCACCCCUAGCUGGGGGGCUAGGCUCCCUCCACCCCUAGCUGGGCUCCUGCCCAGCCCCUGUGGGUGGGGACAGGCUCAGCUCUCUAGGGUGGGCCCCUGCCCCUAGUCCUAGGGUCCCAGGCAGGGUGGGCGGUGCCCACUGUGGGAACCGGCCCUCAUGCCUUCAAACCUGCUUGGGCUCUGGGUUGGGUCGGAGCUGAGCAAGUUGGGGCCCGACAAGGCCAGGGCCUGACUCAGCCCUUACAACCUCUGCCCAAGUCUGCUUCCAAUCCACAGAAUGGGACCUGUUUUGUUAAAAGUGGCUUGAAUGUUCUGGACUCCAAGGGCCGUGGAGUUUGGGGAUUGUUUUAUUUGGAAGCUGCUUAUUUGGGGUUUUUGUAAUUGGUUAUUUCAACACAAUGGUAUGAGAGGGGUUUGGUGAUUGACUGGUGUCAUUGUGCCCCUCAUUAGAAUUUUAGAAUCAUCCUAUCCCCACUCCAAUUCAAUUAAGAAGACACCCCCAAAUUGGUGAAUCUUCUGCUCUGCCCACAUGACAUUUUUUUUUUGUCGGACCCUGGGAUAUGUUACAUUCCCCUGUUGAACUAUUGAAUCACGUUGAGGCAACAGAGACCAUUGAGGAUGGAGAGAGUGAGGAUUUUUAAUAAUCUACAGACAUCACCAAGCGACUGAAGCACUGAUCAAAGGGGAGAGCCUGGCAGAAGAGCAACCAGCCAGCCUGUGGUGAGGGAAAUAAGCACAAGAAAGCAGAAAAAUGACUACCAGUGAGGCAGCUACAAAACUAGAGCUGGCCAGACUGGAAGUGGAAGGAAGGCAGGGAGUUUCAAAUGUGGCAGGGAACUGAGGCUCAAAGAAGCAGUUGCAGCCAGGGAAACUGUGGAGGCAGAGGCAGCCAGAGAGGAGGCUGCACACGGAAGGGCUAUGGAAGAAAGAGAGAGAGAGCAAAAGCACCAGUUGGACCUGCUAGAGAAGCAGAACCAACCCCCCCAACCCCAACGACUCCUGUCACUCCAAAAAUCCACAAAUGGGAACACUUAUGUCUUGCAUACAGUGAAGAGGAUGAUGUUGCUGAAUAUCUGACUGCCUUUGAAAGGCUGUGUGUAAUACAUGAAAUUCCUGAUAAGAGCGUUCCUACCUGAUUGCCAAAUUAACUGAUGCAGCUCCAAUGCCUGUGAAAACAGAGGAGUUGGGACCAGAAAAUUGCCAGAAUACAGAUAACCCAACUGACAGAGAAGGGGGCGUUUUCCCCCAGGCUGGUGAGACACAGAGAAGACUUAUGGGAAAGCUGCUGGGAAAAGACAACCACCACCACCACCACCACCAAGCGACUGAAGCGCUGAUCAAAGGGGAG